RNAcentral lists this ribosomal RNA (497 nucleotides) under uncultured bacterium. RNAcentral's name for it is "partial 16S ribosomal RNA". It matches the Rfam family "Bacterial small subunit ribosomal RNA", at positions 28 to 507 of the family's 1533-position model. The record is from RNAcentral.
GAUGAACGCUGGCGGCGUGCCUAAUACAUGCAAGUCGAGCGAACGGACGAGAAGCUUGCUUCUCUGAUGUUAGCGGCGGUCGGGUGAGUAACACGUGGAUAACCUACCUAUAAGACUGGGAUAACUUCGGGAAACCGUAGCUAAUACCGGAUAAUAUUUUGAACCGCAUGGUUCAAAAGUGAAAGACGGUCUUGCUGUCACUUAUAGAUGGAUCCGCGCUGCAUUAGCUAGUUGGUAAGGUAACGGCUUACCAAGGCAACGAUGCAUAGCCGACCUGAGAGGGUGAUCGGCCACACUGGAACUGAGACACGGUCCAGACUCCUACGGGAGGCAGCAGUAGGGAAUCUUCCGCAAUGGGCGAAAGCCUGACGGAGCAACGCCGCGUGAGUGAUGAAGGUCUUCGGAUCGUAAAACUCUGUUAUUAGGGAAGAACAUAUGUGUAAGUAACUGUGCACAUCUUGACUGUACCUAAUCAGAAAGCCACGGCUAACUACGUG